UGAGGAGGCCGACGAACCCGUAUUUUCGACCUGCCGUCGUGUAAAAUGGAUGGGGCGACAGGACGUCGCCCCAAGCCGAGGGGGCACAGGACGUGCCCUCCGAGGCGGUCCGUUCGGAACAGGCAGGUCGAAAAUACGCUCGGGCGAGACAG
Molecule: regulatory RNA element, 152 nt
Organism: Dethiosulfovibrio peptidovorans DSM 11002
Lineage: Bacteria; Thermotogati; Synergistota; Synergistia; Synergistales; Dethiosulfovibrionaceae
Source: Rfam